UAGCGGAGCGUGUGGUUUAAUUCGAUGCAACACGAAGAACCUUACCAAGGCUUGACAUGCUAGUGGUAGGAACCCGAAAGGGGGACGACCAGCCUUCGGGUUGGAGCUAGCACAGGUGCUACAUGGCUGUCGUCAGCUCGUGCCGUGAGGUGUUGGGUUAAGUCCCAUAACGAGCGCAACCCCUGUUCUGUGUUGAUUUCUCACAGGAAACUGCCCAGGAAUUCUGGGAGGAAGGUGGGGAUGACGUCAAGUCAGCAUGGCCUUUAUGCCUUGGGCCCCACCCCACGCUACAAUGGGUGGUACAAAGGGCAGCGAAAGAGCGAUCUGGAGCUAAUCCCAUAAAGCCACCCCCAGUUCAGAUUGCAGGCUGAAACCCGCCUGCAUGAAGGUGGAGUUGCUAGUAACCGCAUAA
RNAcentral lists this ribosomal RNA (412 nucleotides) under uncultured bacterium. Its description in RNAcentral is "bacterial SSU rRNA". It matches the Rfam family "Bacterial small subunit ribosomal RNA", at positions 930 to 1349 of the family's 1533-position model. The record is from RNAcentral.